CUAAGGCCAACGGGAGAAGGGUUGUUAAGGAACUCGGCAAAUUGACCCCGUAACUUCGGGAGAAGGGGUGCUCCAGAGAUGGAGCCGCAGAGAAUCGGCCCAAGCAACUGUUUACCAAAAACACAGGUUUGUGCUAAAUCGAAAGAUGACGUAUACGAGCUGACGCCUGCCCGGUGCUGGAAGGUUAAGAGGAGAUGUGCAAGCAUUGAAUCGAAGCCCCAGUGAACGGCGGCCGUAACUAUAACGGUCCUAAGGUAGCGAAAUUCCUUGUCAGGUAAGUUCUGACCCGCAUGAAAGGCGUAAUGAUUUGGGCACUGUCUCAACAGCCCGCCCGGCGAAAUUGUAGUACCGGUGAAGAUGCCGGUUACCCGCGACAAGACGGAAAGACCCCAUGGAGCUUUACUGUAGCCUAAUAUUGGGUUUCGAUGUUGCAUGCACAGGAUAGAUGGGACACUAGGAAACAAUCGCUUUGGCGGUUGCGGAGUGGCCGUUGGGAUACCAUCCUUGCGAUAUUGGAAUUCUAACCUGCGGCUCUGAAUCGAGUCGGGGGACAUUGUUAGGUGGGCAGUUUGACUGGGGCGGUCGCCUCCUAAAAAGUAACGGAGGCGUUCAAAGGUUCGCUCAGCUUGAACGGAAAUCAAGCAAAAGAGUGCAAACGCAGAAGCGAGCCUAACUGCGAGACUGACGGGUCGAGCAGUAACGAAAGUUGGAGUUAGUGAUCCGGUGGUAUGUGAGUGGAAAUGCCAUCGCUCAACGGAUAAAAGUUACCCUGGGGAUAACAGGCUGAUCUCCCCCAAGAGUCCACAUCGACGGGGAGGUUUGGCACCUCGAUGUCGGCUCAUCGCAUCCUGGGGCUGAAGUAGGUCCCAAGGGUUGGGCUGUUCGCCCAUUAAAGCGGUACGCGAGCUGGGUUCAGAACGUCGUGAGACAGUUCGGUCCCUAUCUGUCGUGGGCGCAGGAUAUUUGAUGGGAGCUGUCCCUAGUACGAGAGGACCGGGACGGACGUACCUCUGGCGCACCAGUUGUUCCGCCAGGAGCAUAGCUGGGCAACUACGUACGGAUCGGAUAAACGCUGAAAGCAUCUAAGCGUGAAGCCGACCCAAAGAUAAGAUAUCCCACUGAUUUGAUCAGGUAAGACCCCUUGAAGACUACAAGGUCGAUAGGCACGAUGUGUAAGUGGAGCGAUCCAUUCAGCAAGCGUGUACUAAUAGGUCGAGGGCUUGACCAC
RNAcentral lists this ribosomal RNA (1228 nucleotides) under human gut metagenome. Its description in RNAcentral is "bacterial LSU rRNA". It matches the Rfam family "Bacterial large subunit ribosomal RNA", at positions 1681 to 2925 of the family's 2925-position model. The record is from RNAcentral.